Molecule: ribosomal RNA, 253 nt
Filed under: uncultured bacterium
Lineage: Bacteria
Description: partial 16S ribosomal RNA
Rfam family: Bacterial small subunit ribosomal RNA
Source: RNAcentral
UACAGAGGUCUCGAGCGUUAGGCGGAAUCACUGGGCUUAAAGCGUGUGUAGGUGGAUGCCUAAGUACCUUGUGAAAUCCCACGGCUUAACCCCGGGCGUGCAGUGGAUACGGGCUGGCUGGAGGCAGGCAGGGGAGAACGGAAUUCCCGGUGUAGCGGUGAAAUGCGCAGAUAUCGGGAGGAACACCGGUGGCGAAGGCGGUUCUCUGGGCCUGUACUGACGCUGAGGAGCGAAAGCGUGGGGAGCGAACAGG